This 429-nucleotide ribosomal RNA is filed under the name uncultured bacterium. RNAcentral's name for it is "bacterial SSU rRNA". It matches the Rfam family "Bacterial small subunit ribosomal RNA", at positions 355 to 801 of the family's 1533-position model. The record is from RNAcentral.
UCGGGAAUUUUGGGCAAUGGGCGAAAGCCUGACCCAGCAACGCCGCGUGAAGGAUGAAGUAUUUCGGUAUGUAAACUUCGAAAGAAUGGGAAGAAUCAAUGACGGUACCAUUUAUAAGGUCCGGCUAACUACGUGCCAGCAGCCGCGGUAAUACGUAGGGACCAAGCGUUGUUCGGAUUUACUGGGCGUAAAGGGCGCGUAGGCGGCAUGACAAGUCACUUGUGAAAUCUCUGGGCUUAACCCAGAACGGCCAAGUGAUACUGUCGCGCUAGAGUGCAGAAGGGGCAAUCGGAAUUCUUGGUGUAGCGGUGAAAUGCGUAGAUAUCAAGAGGAACACCUGAGGUGAAGACGGGUUGCUGGGCUGACACUGACGCUGAGGCGCGAAAGCCAGGGGAGCAAACGGGAUUAGAUACCCAUGUAGUCCCUGAG